CAAAAGGGAGGACUUGCUAUCAUUGUUUAUACUUUAGUUAUGCUGAUUGAAAUAUUUUAGUCUCAUUGCAAGCCGGAGAAAGAAUUUCCCGAAAGGUUUCCAUUUUUGGACUAUUUACUCAAACCUGCAUGGAUUACAAAAAGACCAGACUCGCGAUCAAAUGCUUUCCGGUUCAGCUUCCAGGAUCGAGUUCACCGUCUUAACUGCGAAACAUUUAAAUUACGUCAGAUAGCAUCAUCCUCUAAGUAAUUAGAUGUGACGUAAGGCAGGAGCGGCUGAUUGUGGAUCCCCCGCCAUGACUGGAAUGGAUUAUCGCACCAGCACCAGAACAGAUGAUUGGCCAUCAAUCAGGUAGCACAAAGAGAUGAUGUCAGAUGGGGACGAGAGAACACAAGAAGGGUCACGUACGCAUACUGGUGCAGAGGCCUAAACUACUGGGCGACACGCCGCCCGGCACUGGCUGGGCGGGACGGCCAUCUUACCCAGCAAACACACACCGUAAAGUUCGCCCACGGGGAAACAGCCCUGUCGAGGGUAACAGCUCCUUCUCUGCACCGUCCUGUUGACAAGCAGGCUGUACUGGGGAGUCAUAGACUCUCACAGAGACACCACCGUGAACCAUCACCCCCACCAGUAUCCCAGUCAGUGCACCAACUCUUAUGGCUCCUUUCCUGAAAAUAAGCCUGGUCCCCUGGCCACUGCACCACUGCACCGCUGCGCUGUGUGAAAGGCAGAGCUGCGAAUGCUAAUAGAAUCUACGAGAAGGUGGUCUGGGGAACCUGGUGCCCCCGUUCGAUGGUCUGGUUCCUCUCUCCCAUCCCUCUGCAGCGACAUGACUGUGGGCGGGACUGGCCGGGUCGUCAAUCCCUCCAAGCAAGUUACCAUGGAGUGCCAAGGUGCAUGUGACAGACGGUGACAGUCUGACACCCCCCCCCCCCAAGCUAGUGCCGGUGUUGUGCAUCCUGGGAAGCGGCAAAGAACAACAUGGCCCUACCUCACCGUGAGAGGGAUGAUGCACAAGAAACCAAAAAAGGGGGCAGUAUUUCACGUUGGACAUUUGCUAGAGGAUGACACCCCCCCCCCCCCCCCCCCGCUGAUGGGUCGUUUCUGUAAAAUACAUCGAGGUGAAACAAAGUCCAGCACUAAUCGAUGCAAUUUACUCUGCAAGUGGACUGGAAACACGAACAUCGUGUUCCAGCUAUAUAAAUGUAUACGGUGCACUGGGUUGGGGGAAACCAUAGACCGGAUGCCAGUCACACACCAGCAAACGCUCAGUCUCUAGGGGCAAUUUAGAAAGACACCAAUUAGCCCAACUGCAUGUCUUUGGACUGCGAGAGAAUCGUGUAAAAACGCUAAACAGAGAGAGAAGAGGCAAGAUUCAGAACCGUAAGCAGAGACGUGCGGAGUGGCAGUGCCAUGCCCUGUGCCACCACACCGCCCAUAAGCAUGGCAUCGCUGUAAUAUAAUUCUAUUAUUUUUUCUGUGCCAGUUGAGACUGGAUUUUGUGAGAAUAUAAUAGCUAAGAAACGCUUUAA
Paramormyrops kingsleyae is the source of this 1535-nucleotide non-coding RNA. The record is from RefSeq and is a predicted model, not a curated record. Lineage: Eukaryota; Metazoa; Chordata; Actinopteri; Osteoglossiformes; Mormyridae.